AGAACGAACGCUGGCGGCAUGCCUAAUACAUGCAAGUCGAACGAACACUUCGGUGUUAGUGGCGCACGGGUGCGUAACGCGUGGGAAUCUGCCCUUGGGUUCGGAAUAACAGUCGGAAACGACUGCUAAUACCGGAUGAUGACGAAAGUCCAAAGAUUUAUCGCCAAGGGAUGAGCCCGCGUAGGAUUAGCUAGUUGGUGAGGUAAAGGCUCACCAAGGCAACGAUCCUUAGCUGGUCUGAGAGGAUGAUCAGCCACACUGGGACUGAGACACGGCCCAGACUCCUACGGGAGGCAGCAGUAGGGAAUAUUGGACAAUGGGCGAAAGCCUGAUCCAGCAAUGCCGCGUGAGUGAUGAAGGCCUUAGGGUUGUAAAGCUCUUUACCCGAGAUGAUAAUGACAGUAUCGGAGAAUAAGCCCCGGCUAACUCCGUGCCAGCAGCCGC
This 444-nucleotide ribosomal RNA is filed under the name uncultured soil bacterium. RNAcentral describes it as "bacterial SSU rRNA". It matches the Rfam family "Bacterial small subunit ribosomal RNA", at positions 26 to 518 of the family's 1533-position model. The record is from RNAcentral.